GGGAAGGCCCAGACAGCCAGGAUGUUGGCUUAGAAGCAGCCAUCAUUUAAAGAAAGCGUAAUAGCUCACUGGUCGAGUCGGCCUGCGCGGAAGAUGUAACGGGGCUAAACCAUGCACCGAAGCUGCGGCAGCGACACUAUGUGUUGUUGGGUAGGGGAGCGUUCUGUAAGCCUGUGAAGGUGUACUGUGAGGUAUGCUGGAGGUAUCAGAAGUGCGAAUGCUGACAUAAGUAACGAUAAAGCGGGUGAAAAGCCCGCUCGCCGGAAGACCAAGGGUUCCUGUCCAACGUUAAUCGGGGCAGGGUGAGUCGACCCCUAAGGCGAGGCCGAAAGGCGUAGUCGAUGGGAAA
RNAcentral lists this ribosomal RNA (349 nucleotides) under Escherichia coli. Its description in RNAcentral is "partial 23S ribosomal RNA". It matches the Rfam family "Bacterial large subunit ribosomal RNA", at positions 1077 to 1425 of the family's 2925-position model. Lineage: Bacteria; Pseudomonadati; Pseudomonadota; Gammaproteobacteria; Enterobacterales; Enterobacteriaceae. The record is from RNAcentral.